GCUAGGAUAGCUCAAUGGUAGGGCGUUGGGCUAGCAAUCAGCCAUCCCUGGUUCGAAUCCAGAUUCUGUCC
Non-coding RNA from Oesophagostomum dentatum (nodular worm), 71 nucleotides. Lineage: Eukaryota; Metazoa; Nematoda; Chromadorea; Rhabditida; Strongylidae. The record is from Rfam.